GAUGAACGCUAGCGGCAGGCCUAAUACAUGCAAGUCGAACGAUAUCAUCCAGCUUGCUGGAUGAGAAAGUGGCGCACGGGUGCGUAACGCGUAUGCAACCUACCUUUAUCUGGGGGAUAGCCCGGAGAAAUCCGGAUUAAUACCGCAUAAAAUCACAGGAUGGCAUUAUCCAAUGAUCAAACAUUUAUGGGAUGAAGAUGGGCAUGCGUGUCAUUAGCUAGUUGGCGGGGUAACGGCCCACCAAGGCGACGGUGACUAGGGGAUCUGAGAGGAUGGCCCCCCACACUGGUACUGAGACACGGACCAGACUCCUACGGGAGGCAGCAGUAAGGAAUAUUGGUCAAUGGAGGCAACUCUGAACCAGCCAUGCCGCGUGCAGGAAGACUGCCCUAUGGGUUGUAAACUGCUUUUAUCCGGGAAUAAACCACAUUACGUGUAAUGUGCUGAAUGUACCGGAAGAAUAAGGAUCGGCUAACUCCGUGCCAGCAGCCGCGGUAAUACGGAGGAUCCAAGCGUUAUCCGGAUUUAUUGGGUUUAAAGAGUGCGUAGGCGGCCUGUUAAGUCAGGGGUGAAAGACGGUAGCUCAACUAUCGCAGUGCCCUUGAUACUGAUGGGCUUGAAUGGACUAGAGGUAGGCGGAAUGAGACAAGUAGCGGUGAAAUGCAUAGAUAUGUCUCAGAACACCGAUUGCGAAGGCAGCUUACUAUGGUCUUAUUGACGCUGAGGCACGAAAGCGUGGGGAUCAAACAGGAUUAGAUACCCUGGUAGUCCACGCCCUAAACGAUGAACACUCGCUGUUGGCGAUACACAGUCAGCGGCUAAGCGAAAGCGUUAAGUGUUCCACCUGGGGAGUACGCCCGCAAGGGUGAAACUCAAAGGAAUUGACGGGGGCCCGCACAAGCGGAGGAGCAUGUGGUUUAAUUCGAUGAUACGCGAGGAACCUUACCCGGGCUUGAAAGUUAGUGAAUUAUCCAGAGAUGGAUAAGUGAGCAAUCACACGAAACUAGGUGCUGCAUGGCUGUCGUCAGCUCGUGCCGUGAGGUGUUGGGUUAAGUCCCGCAACGAGCGCAACCCCUAUGUUUAGUUGCCAGCAUGUAAUGAUGGGGACUCUAAACAGACUGCCUGUGCAAACAGAGAGGAAGGAGGGGACGACGUCAAGUCAUCAUGGCCCUUACGUCCGGGGCUACACACGUGCUACAAUGGAUGGUACAGAGGGCAGCUACAUAGCAAUAUGAUGCGAAUCUCACAAAGCCAUUCACAGUUCGGAUUGGGGUCUGCAACUCGACCCCAUGAAGUUGGAUUCGCUAGUAAUCGCGUAUCAGCAAUGACGCGGUGAAUACGUUCCCGGGCCU
RNAcentral lists this ribosomal RNA (1352 nucleotides) under uncultured bacterium. RNAcentral's name for it is "bacterial SSU rRNA". It matches the Rfam family "Bacterial small subunit ribosomal RNA", at positions 28 to 1381 of the family's 1533-position model. The record is from RNAcentral.